UAGGGAAUAUUGCACAAUGGGCGAAAGCCUGAUGCAGCAACGCCGCGUGCGCGAUGACGGCCUUCGGGUUGUAAAGCGCUUUUCGGGGAGAUGAGGAAGGACAGUAUCCCCGGAAUAAGGCUCGGCUAACUACGUGCCAGCAGCCGCGGUAACACGUAGGAGCCAAGCGUUAUCCGAAUUCACUGGGCGUAAAGCGCGUGUAGGCGGCUUGGUAAGUUGGAUGUGAAAGCUCCUGGCUCAACUGGGAGAGGACGUUCAAUACUGCCGGGCUAGAGGGCGACAGAGGGAGGUGGAAUUCCCGGUGUAGUGGUGAAAUGCGUAGAUAUCGGGAGGAACACCAGUGGCGAGGGCGGUUUCCUGGUCUGAUACUGACGCUGAGGCGCGAAAGCGUGGGGAGCAAACAG
This 404-nucleotide ribosomal RNA is filed under the name uncultured bacterium. RNAcentral describes it as "bacterial SSU rRNA". It matches the Rfam family "Bacterial small subunit ribosomal RNA", at positions 355 to 775 of the family's 1533-position model. The record is from RNAcentral.